AACGAACGCUGGCGGCAUGGUUAAGACAUGCAAGUCGCACGAAGCGUAUAGCAAUAUGCGUUUAGUGGCGGAAGGGUGAGUAAUGAAUGGGUAACGUACCCCGAACACGGGAAUAACAGCGGGCCGCAAGGCCCUUUGCGAAAGUGCUGCUAAUACCCGAUGAAGUGGCCGGGUCGCAUGACUUGGUCACCAAAGGUGGGGACCGCAAGGCCUACUGGUUUGGGAGCGGCCCAUUUCCAUCAGCUAGUUGGUGAGGUAACGGCUCACCAAGGCAACGACGGGUAGCGGGACUGAGAGGUCGGCCCGCCACAUCGGGACUGAGACACUGCCCGGACACCUACGGGUGGCUGCAGUAACGAAUCUUGGG
RNAcentral lists this ribosomal RNA (367 nucleotides) under uncultured bacterium. RNAcentral's name for it is "bacterial SSU rRNA". It matches the Rfam family "Bacterial small subunit ribosomal RNA", at positions 29 to 368 of the family's 1533-position model. The record is from RNAcentral.